GAAGGAAAGGAAGAACUGCGAAGUGCAGGCAGAUCCUCUGAGAAACCUCCCUCAAGUUCAAAGCAGACAACAUUUCAAGAGAGAGAAGAACCAGCCUCUGGAGGCCGGAAGAAGAGAGGCCAUGACUGCUUCAUUAGAUAACUUCUACUCCAGCAUGGUGUCUGGCACAGAGGCAGAAAGUUGAACUUGGUCCUGAAUUCCCAGUCCACCAUUUUCUCCGGUGUCUCCAAGACCCCACUCUGGAUUUGUGUAGUUAUUUAUUCUCACUUUUCCUCCACUCUCCAUGCCCAGCAGGAAAACUUUGCCAUGGAACUGUUAUAUGCUCUUGAGUCUGUUGUGUCCUGUAAAACAUGUAGCAUUGCUUCCUUUGUAUUUUAAUUUAUACAGUUGUAAAUUAAACUGCAGACUUCAACCCAGCUCUUACCCUUUUCUAUGAAGUACUGUAUUUAAUGCUGUGUGGUCCUUUAAUUUGUUAUUUCCUGUGGUGGACAGCUCUUAAGGUGGCUCCAGCCUGUUGGUAUUCAUGCCCUGUGCAAUCACCUCCUCUCACAUGUGAGCCAGACCUAGUGACCUGCUCCCAAUGAACAGAAUGUGGCAAAACUGAUAGAUGUCACUUAUGAGAUUCAGUUAGGAAAAAACCCCAUCUUCCUUCUUUGCUUUAUUAUUUUGUUCACGCUGAUGCAAGCCAGCUGAAAUGUUCAGAGCUACCUUCUACAGAGGCCCAAUGGAAGGGGCUGGAGAGAGGCCUCCAGCCAACAAUCAGCAAGGAAUUGAGGUCAACAGUUCAAUAGAACAAAAAAACCAGAAUCCUACCAACACUCUGUGAGUGACUUUGGAAGUAAACAUUUCCUCAGUCCA
This is a long non-coding RNA of Neogale vison (American mink), 858 nucleotides long. RefSeq lists it as uncharacterized. The transcript is spliced from 3 exons. The record is from RefSeq and is a predicted model, not a curated record. Lineage: Eukaryota; Metazoa; Chordata; Mammalia; Carnivora; Mustelidae.